CAGCUUUGCUAACUGUGGAAGCUUGUGCCUGGAGAAAAGAAUUGCUAGUGGAAGGAACUACUCAGCUAGUAAAAAAAGAAUUCUUCUGCAAUAGCUUCUAUUUUCCUGGGGAUUUUCAUCUGGAUGUCAUAGAUGGAGGCAAAUGUAAAAGUGUUCAGAAAACCCUUCAGAAUGUACCAUCAGCUCAGAAUUACAGAGCUCCAGAGCCUGAUGUUGAAAGCUGCAGAAAACAUCACAGGUUCUGGCUCAUCCCCCAUGUAACUUUGUGGAUCCA
RNAcentral lists this long non-coding RNA (274 nucleotides) under Gallus gallus (chicken). The record is from RNAcentral. Lineage: Eukaryota; Metazoa; Chordata; Aves; Galliformes; Phasianidae.